This 1427-nucleotide long non-coding RNA is filed under the name Homo sapiens (human). RNAcentral's name for it is "non-protein coding lnc-MYCT1-3:1". Lineage: Eukaryota; Metazoa; Chordata; Mammalia; Primates; Hominidae. The record is from RNAcentral.
GCUAUCUAAAAAAAUAGAGGAAAUUUGAAAUAAAUGUUUAGCAAAUCUAUGAAAUAGGAAAGGGGUACUUUUUAAGAGCCAAAGGGAUGAAAUAAAUUACAAAGGAAAAUAUUAACAGUUUUGAUUAUUUAAAAAACUGAAAUCCAAGGUACAGCUGCCACACAAUUCAGGAACAUUUCGUGGUAGGAUGAAAUUGGCCGCAGUUAGAAAAACACAAAUUAAGGAAGAAACUGCAGAGUCAAAACUCAGACUGCAGACUCCCCCUGCUUUAUCCAGUUGGUGUGCUGAAUAUUCAAGCCUACAUAUUUAAACCUUGUGAUCUGCUGAGCAGCUACACCACAGGUGCUCAACAGACCAAAAGGGUCUGAGGGAAACAAGGGAUUCCACCACAUUCUAACUGGGCAAAUGGCAGACUUGGGUAGAUCCAGUGGCCUUUGCAAAGUGUUUUGGGGUAGGGAUCCAGACAGAGUCAGGCAAAUAUCUUCCAGAUGGCUCAAACUAUAAAAAGUAAAAUUUAAAAGCCCCUUUCUUCAACAUGGAAAGAAAGGAAUUAAACUAACCCUCAGAGAGAGGCAGUAAAAUGUAGAUGUGCCAAUCACAUUGAAAUUCUUAAUGUAACCAGGCAGCUUAACUUCAAAAUGCAUUUUAAAACUUGUAUUUUUCUUUUUCUUGGAUUUCAAGAUAUAACCUUGCAGCAAACUGCAGAAGCAUUUUCCUUAGCCUUAAAAUAGAUUCCAUGUUCUACCCUUUCUCACCAUAUAUACUCCCUUCACAUUUAUCUAACUGUAUGCUAGCAUCUAAUUAUGUGCCAUCUUAGAAGUUCCAAGGGCCAAUCUUCAGACGGAAAGUCCAAAUCUGGACCCAGGUGCAAAAUUCCAGAGAUUACUUCAAAGUGGCUAGUCAACAACUUGGCCAUUGUCGAAAUGACACCAGCCCAUGCUCCCCGGUGGAUUGAAACCCAAGAUAGCCACUGGAACAAGAUACACAGACAUUGUACUCCGCACAAUUUUUGCGUGCCAUCCAUUAUCAAGUUUUCCCUUUUUAAGCCCUUGGCUUGCCCCUCAAAAUUGAAGUGGUUGCUUUGGAUGGGAAUCUGGCCAUGUCUCCAUUACUACUUUUGUUUAAUAAAAUGACUUUCUACCAGACCUUACUCUUGUUAAUUGGAUUUUGCGAGUGGGAAGCAACCAGACUUGCAUUUGGUUACAUUGGUCCCUGCAGUCCCUGAAGCCUAGCUAUUGAAUAUCUCUCUUUCCUUCAUAGGUAAUGAAAUCUUUAUUGGAAUCUACUAGAUACCACAAUCACCUUUUAUAAAAUUUUCAUUUUUAUAUAAACAACAUUAGAUUAGGUCACAAUAACUUGCUGAAAAGAUUUCUAACCAAUACAGGGAUUCAAUAUAUACUGCUUUAUUUCUGAAGCUGAUAAAUUGA